UGUGUGUCUGCGUCUUCAUCCGGGUUUGUCAGGCCAGUGAGUGCUGGGUCUGUGUCUUGGAGGAAAGGGCUUUAGUGGGAUCUCCAUGAAGACCUGUGUACAAGGAGGGUUUCUGUACAGAGCAUGUCUGAGUGGGAGAGUGGCAGCAGAUUCCCAGCCAAGGCCAGCAGCCACCCCAGAUGACCUGCUGAUGCCUUUGCUGAAAUGAGUGGCUACUGGCCAACAGCUUGGUGAGAGUGUCAGCUCCCACCCAAGAGGAAAUCAGAGGAAAACGUCUGUAGUUUCCAAGAAGCACAACAGGAGCCACCUCUUUACUGCUUGCUCCUGAAGAGUUGUGCUCCCUGAACCCCACCCUGCAGGUGUUGGUUUGCCCAGAGCCCUGUCCUUAAGAUACCACAUGCAUUACC
Callithrix jacchus (white-tufted-ear marmoset) is the source of this 407-nucleotide non-coding RNA. The record is from RefSeq and is a predicted model, not a curated record. NCBI's taxonomy places the organism in Eukaryota, Metazoa, Chordata, Mammalia, Primates, Cebidae.